UGGUGAGGUAACGGCUCACCAAGGCCACGAUGCGUAGCCGACCUGAGAGGGUGAUCGGCCACAUUGGAACUGAGACACGGUCCAGACUCCUACGGGAGGCAGCAGUGGGGAAUAUUGCACAAUGGGCGGAAGCCUGAUGCAGCAACGCCGCGUGAGUGAUGAAGGCCCUCGGGUCGUAAAGCUCUUUGAUCAGGGAUGAUAAUGACAGUACCUGAAAAACAAGCCACGGCUAACUACGUGCCAGCAGCCGCGGUAAUACGUAGGUGGCGAGCGUUGUCCGGAAUUACUGGGCGUAAAGGAUGCGUAGGUGGAUAUUUAAGUGGGAUGUGAAAUCCCCGGGCUCAACCCGGGAACUGCAUUCCAAACUGGAUGUCUAGAGUGCAGGAGAGGAAAGCGGAAUUCCUAGUGUAGCGGUGAAAUGCGUAGAUAUUAGGAGGAACACCAGUGGCGAAGGCGGCUUUCUGGACUGUAACUGACACUGAGGCAUGAAAGCGUGGGUAGCAAACAGGAUUAGAU
Molecule: ribosomal RNA, 516 nt
Filed under: uncultured microorganism
Description: bacterial SSU rRNA
Rfam family: Bacterial small subunit ribosomal RNA
Source: RNAcentral